RNAcentral lists this ribosomal RNA (460 nucleotides) under uncultured bacterium. Its description in RNAcentral is "partial 16S ribosomal RNA". It matches the Rfam family "Bacterial small subunit ribosomal RNA", at positions 338 to 795 of the family's 1533-position model. The record is from RNAcentral.
CCUACGGGAGACAGCAGUGAGGAAUAUUGGUCAAUGGGCGGAAGCCUGAACCAGCCAAGUAGCGUGCAGGAUGACGGCCCUACGGGUUGUAAACUGCUUUUAUACGGGAAUAACGCGCCUUACGUGUAGGGCUUUGCAUGUACCGUAUGAAUAAGGAUCGGCUAAUUCCGUGCCAGCAGCCGCGGUAAUACGGAAGGUCCGGGCGUUAUCCGGAUUUAUUGGGUUUAAAGGGAGCGUAGGCCGCAUUUCAAGCGCGAUGUGAAAUUGUGGGGCUCAACCCGGGCCUUGCAGCGGAAACUGGCUUGCUUGAGUGCGCGGAAGGCAGGCGGAAUUCGUCGUGUAGCGGUGAAAUGCUUAGAUAUGACGAAGAACCCCGAUUGCGAAGGCAGCUUGCUGGAGCGGAACUGACGCUGAUGCUCGAAAGCGCGGGUAUCGAACAGGAUUAGAUACCCGGGUAGUC